RNAcentral lists this ribosomal RNA (274 nucleotides) under uncultured bacterium. RNAcentral describes it as "partial 16S ribosomal RNA". It matches the Rfam family "Bacterial small subunit ribosomal RNA", at positions 523 to 796 of the family's 1533-position model. The record is from RNAcentral.
AUACGGAGGGUGCAAGCGUUACUCGGAAUCACUGGGCGUAAAACGCGCGCAGGCGGCUUGAUAAGUUGGAUGUGAAAGCCUACGGCUCAACCGUAGAACUGCAUCCAAAACUGUCAGGCUAGAGUGUGGGAGAGGAAGAUGGAAUUAGUUGUGUAGGGGUAAAAUCCGUAGAGAUAACUAGGAAUACCAAAAGCGAAGGCAAUCUUCUGGAACACUACUGACGCUGAGGCGCGAAGGCGUGGGGAGCAAACAGGAUUAGAAACCCGAGUAGUCC